This is a long non-coding RNA of Xenia sp. Carnegie-2017, 1323 nucleotides long. RefSeq lists it as uncharacterized. NCBI's taxonomy places the organism in Eukaryota, Metazoa, Cnidaria, Anthozoa, Malacalcyonacea, Xeniidae. The transcript is spliced from 3 exons. The record is from RefSeq and is a predicted model, not a curated record.
GAUGCUGGCAUCAGUAAGUGUAAAUGUUUCUUACAAGAAGGUUAAGAAGAAGAAAAUAAAAUGAAGUUGGUUAUUUUGUGUGCACUUUUGGCCGUAAUGGUUGUCUUGCCACAAUCAGCCUACAGUGAUGAUGAAAGUGAAGCGAUUGGUAUCACCGACCCUGCGUUUCAUAAGGAUCAGAAGAAUAGGAAAAACAAUGCAAGAAAACGUUACCGUGUGCGUUUAGAUUCUCUAGCUCGUUCUUAUCCUCGUUUUCGUGCUAAGUUCAAUCCUCGUAUGGAAACGUAGGUAUCGUGGAGGCGCUGGGGUUAGCUGGAUGCUAAUUCCUUAUUCAAGAAGUGACAGUAACAAUGUAGCUAUGUAUGUCGUCGUUGACAAUUCUUUUUUACUGUAAUAGCGUAAGUCUGUAGAAAAUAAAACAAAAUUCUGUUUUCGUCACUGAAAUUUUUUUCCACUGAUACAAAUUUAGUCAAUUCAUGUGUUAAGCAACAUUGUUACCAGAGUCUUGUUGACAGGGGGGCUUAUAGUUUCCUAGGAUUGUUUUUCCCAAGGUUGUAUUUCCUGGGGUUGUUUUUCUCAGGGUUGUUUCUCCUAGGGUAAACACGGUAACAUCUUCAACUUACGUUGGUAUUCACGAGAAUCGUACGGAAUAGAAAUUUACAGUAAAGUUAAAAAAAAAUUUUCUAUGUACAUUGGCAGUCCAAGUGACGUCAACCAGUCCACCACUGAACUAAGUUUUCCCACAACAUCUGGAGCGAAGCGAAGACUGGAAAUAUCACAUGGAACCUUACAGAAAAAAUAAAAAAACCGUUUCAUUUGGCAUGUCUACUUCUUGUGCGACGAUUAUUCUACUUUCUGGGCUAUUACAAAAACAAAAAACCUUCAAUGCGGGCAAAAAUUUACAUGUCUCGAUUAUAAAUAAAAUGCAAAUGACGAUGUCGCAGCUUUUUUAGAAAGUUUCAAAUUUCAGUGAAAUUUUUAAUUGCGUUAGUUUUCAUUCGAGCAAAAAAAUCUCAACGUUUCAGAAAGACAAAGUUUCACAAAGACAACGUUUCACAAAGGAGCUGCUGACAAAACAACGACACAUGAAAACCUACAAUAAAUAAAUUCUUUCAAUAAUGGAGAAAAAUCAUGCGAACCGAGGCUCAAUUGUACUCAGUCAGAUUUUCACGUCUUAUCUUACGCACGAACAAAGACAUAACAAACAUAUGAUCAUCUAAAUACAUAAUAAUUGAAGUUUUCAUCUUUUACAUCGCCUUAAUGGUUAACAUCAAAACAAACCAUAUCAAUCAAGGACUAAAUACAUAAUAAUUGAAGUUUUCA